This 460-nucleotide ribosomal RNA is filed under the name uncultured Treponema sp. Its description in RNAcentral is "bacterial SSU rRNA". It matches the Rfam family "Bacterial small subunit ribosomal RNA", at positions 341 to 792 of the family's 1533-position model. The record is from RNAcentral. Lineage: Bacteria; Pseudomonadati; Spirochaetota; Spirochaetia; Treponematales; Treponemataceae.
ACGGGAGGCAGCAGCUAAGAAUAUUCCGCAAUGGACGAAAGUCUGACGGAGCGACGCCGCGUGGAUGAUGAAGGUCGGAAGAUUGUAAAAUCCUUUUAUGACUGAGGAAUAAGUGAAGUGAGAGAAACGCUUCAUGGUGACUGUAGGUCAUGAAUAAGCAACGGCUAAUUACGUGCCAGCAGCCGCGGUAACACGUAAGUUGCGAGCGUUGUUCGGAAUUAUUGGGCGUAAAGGGCAUGUAGGCGGUUUUGCAAGCUUGGUGUGAAAUCCCGGAGCUCAACUCCGGAAUUGCGUUGAGAACUGCAUAACUAGAGUCACUGAGGGGCAAUCAGAAUUCCAGGUGUAGGGGUGAAAUCUGUAGAUAUCUGGAAGAAUACCAAUGGCGAAGGCAGCCUGCCAGCAGAUGACUGACGCUGAGGUGCGAAGGUGCGGGGAGCAAACAGGAUUAGAUACCCUGGUA